This 579-nucleotide ribosomal RNA is filed under the name uncultured bacterium. RNAcentral describes it as "bacterial SSU rRNA". It matches the Rfam family "Bacterial small subunit ribosomal RNA", at positions 86 to 644 of the family's 1533-position model. The record is from RNAcentral.
GCAAGUAGAGUGGCAAACGGGUGAGUAACACGUGGGUGACCUGCCUUCGAGCGGGGGAUAACGUCCCGAAAGGGACGCUAAUACCGCAUAACAUCCUGCCUUUGAAGAGGUGGAGAUCAAAGCUGGGGAUCGCAAGACCCGGCACUUGAAGAGGGGCCCGCGUCUGAUUAGCUAGUUGGUGGGGUAAUGGCCUACCAAGGCAACGAUCAGUAUCCGGCCUGAGAGGGCGGACGGACACACUGGGACUGAGACACGGCCCAGACUCCUACGGGAGGCAGCAGUGGGGAAUUGUUCGCAAUGGGCGCAAGCCUGACGACGCAACGCCGCGUGGAGGAUGAAGAUUUUCGGAUCGUAAACUCCUGUCGAAUGGGACGAACAGAUUACGGGUUAACAGCCUGUAGUCCUGACGGUACCGUUAAAGGAAACCCCGGCUAACUCCGUGCCAGCAGCCGCGGUAAUACGGGGGGGGUAAGCGUUGUUCGGAAUUACUGGGCGUAAAGGGCUCGUAGGCGGCCAACUAAGUCAUACGUGAAAUCCCUCAGCUUAACUGGGGAACUGCGUGUGAUACUGGAUGGCUUG